Molecule: long non-coding RNA, 325 nt
Filed under: Anser brachyrhynchus (Pink-footed goose)
Lineage: Eukaryota; Metazoa; Chordata; Aves; Anseriformes; Anatidae
Description: lncRNA (ENSABRG00000010479.1)
Source: RNAcentral
GGAAAAAACAUCUACCCAUCCUGAGAAUAUGUCUAAGAUGAGAAGGACAUGAAGUACUAAGCUUUGGUAUGCAGAUAUUCAGUCUCUGGCAUUCAACAUUUGUGCUCUGAGGAGGGGCAGGAGAGGAACCAGAAGGAUGCCAGGACAGGAGAGACAGUAUAACAGGAGAAACGCUGAGACUCAAACCUUCCUGUCUUAGAAGAGAGUUGCAAAACCAGAAUGGAGGCAGUGAGGAUGAGCAGGUGAUUUUGGCCAUGGGACAAGCCAGCAUACAAUGACACACAAAGUACUUGCUUUAUAUUAAAGAUCCAAAAAUAUAUAUAGC